RNAcentral lists this ribosomal RNA (273 nucleotides) under Triticum aestivum (bread wheat). RNAcentral describes it as "partial small subunit ribosomal RNA". The record is from RNAcentral. Lineage: Eukaryota; Viridiplantae; Streptophyta; Magnoliopsida; Poales; Poaceae.
UUAUACAACUUCGAUACCAUAGUCCCCGCUACUCUCCUCAUAGUAUACUUAUCAAAAGCUCAAUUUUGUACUGGAUUGGGGCAUUCUAUUAGUGAACCCAUUUGGACAGAUUUAUCAGAUUGGGAUAUUCUUGAUCGAUUUGGUCGGAUAUGUAGACAUCUUUUUCAUUAUCAUAGUGGAUCUUCGAAAAAACGGACUUUGUAUCGACUAAAGUAUAUACUUCGACUUUCAUGCAUUAGAACUUUAGCUCGUAAACAUAAAAGCAUGGUAUGA